Long non-coding RNA from Anthonomus grandis grandis, 401 nucleotides. RefSeq lists it as uncharacterized. The transcript has 3 exons. Lineage: Eukaryota; Metazoa; Arthropoda; Insecta; Coleoptera; Curculionidae. The record is from RefSeq and is a predicted model, not a curated record.
CAGAUCAAAUAUGUCUAAUGUGUAUAUUUUAAAAUAGGCUUAAAAACCGUGAAUAGGCGAAUAAUGAUAAAUAUUUUUUCUGCCUUACAUGAAGAAAAUGCACUUUUAAUCCUCUGCGUAAGAGCAAAAUAUCACUUUUUUUCGGAUUGUCUUGGUUGGCAUCGCUUUAGGUUGGGACAGGAUAGUCAGCGAACUAGUCGCGGAUGAAAGCACGGCAAACGGACUUGUAUCAGGUUCUUAAUACGGCAACUUUCUGUGCAGUAAGCUUCUACAAGACCGCGGAGAUAACUAUGGGAUAGAUCGUAACACACCGAAUUAAGUAUACAUAUUUUUACAUCUAUAGUAUACUAUACCGAGUAACACAGAAAGAAGGGAACACUUAAUAACUUUUUUACUUUUCA